UACAGAGGGGGCAAGCGUUAUUCGGAAUUAUUGGGCGUAAAGGGCGCGUAGGCGGCGAUUCAAGUGACGGGUGAAAUCCCUCGGCUUAACCGAGGAACUGCCUGUCAGACUGGAUUGCUUGAGGCCGGGAGAGGCGAGUGGAAUUCCCAGUGUAGCGGUGAAAUGCGUAGAUAUUAGGAAGAACACCGGUGGCGAAGGCGGCCCACUGGUCCGGUACUGACGCUGAGGUGCGAAAGCGUGGGGAGCAAACAGG
RNAcentral lists this ribosomal RNA (253 nucleotides) under uncultured bacterium. Its description in RNAcentral is "partial 16S ribosomal RNA". It matches the Rfam family "Bacterial small subunit ribosomal RNA", at positions 524 to 776 of the family's 1533-position model. The record is from RNAcentral.